Molecule: long non-coding RNA, 206 nt
Filed under: Vigna radiata
Lineage: Eukaryota; Viridiplantae; Streptophyta; Magnoliopsida; Fabales; Fabaceae
Description: long non-coding RNA (VRAD_LNC018251)
Source: RNAcentral
ACAAAUUGAUUUUGUAGGAUUGAGUUAGGCUUAAAAUUUACUUGACAUAACUUAAAAAAAUAAUAAAUAAUAAUGAAAUACAUAUUGCUAAUAUUAAUAUCAACGUAACCUUGUAUAAUUUGCCUUCCAUAGCUUGUUUUAGUUGGCUAUAGUUAUUAUUUUCCAUAAGUAUACCAUUUAAAUGUCAAAGUCUCAUAAAGGAUGGC